RNAcentral lists this ribosomal RNA (76 nucleotides) under Streptomyces sp. cf124. RNAcentral describes it as "16S rRNA. Bacterial SSU". It matches the Rfam family "Bacterial small subunit ribosomal RNA", at positions 1 to 75 of the family's 1533-position model. The record is from RNAcentral. Lineage: Bacteria; Bacillati; Actinomycetota; Actinomycetes; Kitasatosporales; Streptomycetaceae.
AUUCACGGAGAGUUUGAUCCUGGCUCAGGACGAACGCUGGCGGCGUGCUUAACACAUGCAAGUCGAACGAUGAACC